This 310-nucleotide unclassified non-coding RNA is filed under the name plant metagenome. Its description in RNAcentral is "partial contains 5.8S ribosomal RNA, internal transcribed spacer 2, and large subunit ribosomal RNA". The stretch from base 1 to 105 matches the Rfam family "5.8S ribosomal RNA", at positions 50 to 154 of the family's 154-position model. The record is from RNAcentral.
GAAAUGCGAUAAGUAGUGUGAAUUGCAGAAUUCAGUGAAUCAUCGAAUCUUUGAACGCACAUUGCGCCCCUUGGUAUUCCAUGGGGCAUGCCUGUUCGAGCGUCAUUUGUACCCUCAAGCUCUGCUUGGUGUUGGGUGUUUGUCCCCGUCUCCGCGCGUGGACUCGCCCCAAAGUGAUUGGCAGCCGGCGUACUGGCCCCGGAGCGCAGCACAUGUCGCGCAAACGAGUGCCUUGGUACGGCGGCGUCCAUAAGCCCCUCUCUCACGCUCUUGACCUCGGAUCAGGUAGGGAUACCCGCUGAACUUAAGC